AGCGAACGCUGGCGGCAGGCUUAACACAUGCAAGUCGAGCGGGCACUUCGGUGUCAGCGGCAGACGGGUGAGUAACACGUGGGAACGUACCCUUCGGUUCGGAAUAACGCUGGGAAACUAGCGCUAAUACCGGAUACGCCCUUUUGGGGAAAGGUUUACUGCCGAAGGAUCGGCCCGCGUCUGAUUAGCUAGUUGGUGGGGUAAUGGCCUACCAAGGCGACGAUCAGUAGCUGGUCUGAGAGGAUGAUCAGCCACACUGGGACUGAGACACGGCCCAGACUACUACGGGAGGCAGCAGUGGGGAAUAUUGGACAAUGGGCGCAAGCCUGAUCCAGCCAUGCCGCGUGAGUGAUGAAGGCCUUAGGGUUGUAAAGCUCUUUUGUCCGGGACGAUAAUGACGGUACCGGAAGAAUAAGCCCCGGCUAACUUCGUG
Molecule: ribosomal RNA, 433 nt
Filed under: uncultured bacterium
Lineage: Bacteria
Description: partial 16S ribosomal RNA
Rfam family: Bacterial small subunit ribosomal RNA
Source: RNAcentral